Molecule: long non-coding RNA, 3420 nt
Organism: Rana temporaria (common frog)
Lineage: Eukaryota; Metazoa; Chordata; Amphibia; Anura; Ranidae
Exons: 2
Source: RefSeq, a predicted model, not a curated record
UCCAUUUCUUUGAGUACAUCAUGGGACACAGAGCAGACUAUACAUUACUAACUGGGUUAUAUGCUACCUAUAGGUGAAUGGACACUGGAGGAUCAAAACAGAAUGGAAGUCCCCCACUAUAUAACCCCACCCAUAUAGGAAGUACUCCAGUUUUGUAGUGAUGUGGAUCAAUUAAUUUCCCUGACACAAUUUCUCAGGGUGGAACCCAUCCUACCGUUUGAUUCAAAUUAAUAUGGUGAGACAGUGCAAUCUAUAGACAAAACAGACCACAUCUCACCUUUCCAACGUUCGCCAGCAGAGAGAGGGCCGAGCUAUAGCCCUGUUAGAAUAUUAUUCCAAAUUCAUAAUUCGGCAAUUCAUGGCAAGCUUGCAAAACAUAUUUUGAUUUAUGAUUAAUCAUAAUAAUUAGGUAUGAAUGAAUGACCUUGAUCAAUUGAUAUGACAUAAUUCUUCUAUCCAAAACUGAGCAUUACUGGUCAACCGAUUUGAGAAUGACAUAAGCUUGUUGAAUGUCAGGCAGUUGUUCUACUAUGUCCAAAGUUGACAUGAGUUCAGGAGGUCAGCAGGCUAACAGAUAAGUAUACACAUAGAGUUCAUGUGUCAGAGCUGACAUGUUUUUACAUGCUUUAAAGUUAAAAUCACAGAUUAUCCAUAACUUAGCUAUUUAUUUGAUAUUGUUGUUUAAUUAUUUAGAGCUAGUUUAAGUGAAGUCUUAGUCAUACUGAUAUGUAUUAGUAUAUAGUUACUUAAUGAAGUUAUAGCUUUAUAGCUGAUAAUAUAUGUUCUAUGACAUUGCAUCAUCAAGCACACUACUCUAAGUAUAGAGUGUCACAUGUGUGCCUGUCAAUCAAACUCCAUACGACUCUGUGCUAAGAUCUUCAUAUUGCUGAACCUAGCAGAUAUUAAUAUUUGCCAUACAAGGGUCUAAGCCUGGGCCGUAUGAGGUCAUGACGUUCACUUGUAACAUAUAUUUAAGCUUUGCUUUAAAGAAGGCUGAACACAUUUGCACCACACACUUACAUGACACACUGAUACUAACUCACAAUAAGACACACUCACUCACACCCUCUUUGAAAGACAACACUGACAUAUUGACAAGGACAACAGCUGAUACUAGAAGUCAAGAACGUCAUUUCCUGCUUCACUUUGGAAAAUCUCAGAGACAAUGCUCACAUGCUUUCAUAAGCUUGCUACAAUACUAUCGAUCCAAUUCCAGAUACUUUUCAUCUACGCUAAACUGAACUUUAUACUAUUUUUCAUUGUGUUUGUGAUGCCACCUGUGUGACAAUAAACUCACACGUUAUUUUCAAAUCAACCUGACUAUGAAUGAUCUUCAUUCAGAUACGCCCUUGAAGCUAUAAGAAUAUUAGUUAUUAAUUUUACAUUCUUACAGUGGCGAGCCAAAGAAAGUACUGUCUUAUCUCUAUUUUUACGGAAGUCUCGACCCUUGAUGAGGGGGGGAGAGAUUAGCGCAGUCUUUGCGAAUAUUCAAGUCUCGAGAAAAAAGACGGUUCAGAACCUAUCAAGCAAGAGGCGUUUGUGUCGCGUCAGAUGUGGACAACAGUCCAGUAACAGACGGUUGAUGACGAGAAAUCCUUCUAAUAACGAUAUGGCAUCUAAAAUCAAACAAAUAUGGAGGAUAACAAGCUUCUAUAAAGAGCAAAGAGAAAUUCAAAGUUAAAGAAGAGAUCCUUUUUGGAAGAAUAUUUGACAAAAGAUUUAUAUUUCAUAUUUAUGAACUAUUUUAUCUUAUUCAUCAAGGUUUUUCUAACGGAACUUGAAGAAGACAUUUUAAAGACAUUUCAUGAAGAAACAUUAAUCGGAAGGAACAUUGUCUAUCUACUAUAGAUAAACAAUUUAGGACUGAAACAUUUGUCCACAUAUACAUAUACAUUUUUUGAUUAUCCAAUUAUUAUGAUAUUAAUGUUCACAUGAAGUUAGGCACAUAUUGAAUGUUAGCACACUCAUUCUAGUUAAUAGAACAUUUUUUGUUCAUAACUUAAGAAAGAUAUCAUUAAUAGAACUAUGGAAAGUUAUGAAAGUUUUAGAGUAUAAAGUAUAUUUCCAAAGAGCUAAAAUAUUAUUUGAGCACAUAUAUGGAAAUAUAUUAUUGCAUUAUUUACUUAUUUUAAUAAUAAUAAUUUCCAUUAUUAUUAUUAAUAUUAAUAAUUAUUGAUAUUAGUCAUCAUUAUGUUAUACAUUUUUAAAAUCUAUACCAUUAUUUCUGGUAAGAUUUUGAUUAGAUAGAUCUAAGAAGAGUUAAAAGUAAAGAGUAAAGCAUUUAGGAAAAGGAAAAUUUCUAGUUGCUUCAGUUCUGAGGAAUAUCGUGUCCAAUCGUUUGAUAGAAGGUGGAGAAAAUGAGAUAUGAAUGUAUGUAUGUGUGUAUUAAAUGAUUUAGUAUGAUUAAUCAUAAUUCAGGGGGGAUUGUUAGAAUAUUAUUCCAAAUUCAUAAUUCGGCAAUUCAUGGCAAGCUUGCAAAACAUAUUUUGAUUUAUGAUUAAUCAUAAUAAUUAGGUAUGAAUGAAUGACCUUGAUCAAUUGAUAUGACAUAAUUCUUCUAUCCAAAACUGAGCAUUACUGGUCAACCGAUUUGAGAAUGACAUAAGCUUGUUGAAUGUCAGGCAGUUGUUCUACUAUGUCCAAAGUUGACAUGAGUUCAGGAGGUCAGCAGGCUAACAGAUAAGUAUACACAUAGAGUUCAUGUGUCAGAGCUGACAUGUUUUUACAUGCUUUAAAGUUAAAAUCACAGAUUAUCCAUAACUUAGCUAUUUAUUUGAUAUUGUUGUUUAAUUAUUUAGAGCUAGUUUAAGUGAAGUCUUAGUCAUACUGAUAUGUAUUAGUAUAUAGUUACUUAAUGAAGUUAUAGCUUUAUAGCUGAUAAUAUAUGUUCUAUGACAUUGCAUCAUCAAGCACACUACUCUAAGUAUAGAGUGUCACAUGUGUGCCUGUCAAUCAAACUCCAUACGACUCUGUGCUAAGAUCUUCAUAUUGCUGAACCUAGCAGAUAUUAAUAUUUGCCAUACAAGGGUCUAAGCCUGGGCCGUAUGAGGUCAUGACGUUCACUUGUAACAUAUAUUUAAGCUUUGCUUUAAAGAAGGCUGAACACAUUUGCACCACACACUUACAUGACACACUGAUACUAACUCACAAUAAGACACACUCACUCACACCCUCUUUGAAAGACAACACUGACAUAUUGACAAGGACAACAGCUGAUACUAGAAGUCAAGAACGUCAUUUCCUGCUUCACUUUGGAAAAUCUCAGAGACAAUGCUCACAUGCUUUCAUAAGCUUGCUACAAUACUAUCGAUCCAAUUCCAGAUACUUUUCAUCUACGCUAAACUGAACUUUAUACUAUUUUUCAUUGUGUUUGUGAUGCCACCUGUGUGACAAUAAACUCACACGUUAUUUUCAAAUCAA